Molecule: unclassified non-coding RNA, 428 nt
Filed under: Hevea brasiliensis (rubber tree)
Lineage: Eukaryota; Viridiplantae; Streptophyta; Magnoliopsida; Malpighiales; Euphorbiaceae
Source: RNAcentral
GGGUCAAAGCCAGAGCCCAAGAAGCAGAAGCAGAAGCCGAAGCCGCAGCCCAAAGAGAAGCAGAAGCCGCAGUCUAAAUCAUGAUGAAUACCCUGGCGAACCAAAUGGGAUUAGGUCUCCUAGUCGGUGAGCUACUGGGAGGGAACGACUGUAAUGCUGCUUGUGUUCUGGAUCAUGUUCUUUUCGUUGAUGUGGGUGAUCUAUGUUUUGUUGUUUGUUGUUUUUAACUUCAUUGGAUGCUUUUUUUGUUCUUGCAGUAUAUGUGUGGGAAAAAUUUGUUGGCUUAGUAAUAGGUUAUUGCCAUAUAUUUUUGUCUAGCAGAAUAGUUAACAUUUGAACAUUUGAUUGCUAUCUAAGUAAUCUGUUUUGCUGGGCGGUUUUAUGACAAUAUCUUUUGCUGAAGGUGCUCCAUGCCCGCUUCAACCUAA